CCUACGGGAGGCAGCAGUGGGGAAUCUUGGUCAAUGGGCGCAAGCCUGAACCAGCCACGCCGCGUGAGUGAUGAAGGCCUUCGGGUUGUAAAGCUCUGUGGGGAGGGAAGAAACCGUUCUGGAAGAAACGCCAGGGCCUUGACGGUACCUCCUUAGCAAGCACCGGCUAACUCUGUGCCAGCAGCCGCGGUAAUACAGAGGGUGCGAACGUUGCUCGGAAUUACUGGGCGUAAAGCGCGUGUAGGCGGGCUAGCAAGUCAGAUGUGAAAUCCCCGGGCUCAACCCGGGAACUGCAUCUGAAACUGCUGGCCUUGAGUGCCGGAGAGGGUAGCGGAAUUCCUGGUGUAGAGGUGAAAUUCGUAGAUAUCAGGAGGAACAUCAGUGGCGAAGGCGGCUACCUGGACGGCAACUGACGCUGAGACGCGAAAGCGUGGGGAGCAAACAGGAUUAGAUACCCCUGUAGUC
RNAcentral lists this ribosomal RNA (465 nucleotides) under uncultured bacterium. Its description in RNAcentral is "bacterial SSU rRNA". It matches the Rfam family "Bacterial small subunit ribosomal RNA", at positions 338 to 795 of the family's 1533-position model. The record is from RNAcentral.